GAAAUGCGAUAAGUAAUGUGAAUUGCAGAAUUCAGUGAAUCAUCGAAUCUUUGAACGCACAUUGCGCCCGCCAGUAUUCUGGCGGGCAUGCCUGUCCGAGCGUCAUUUCAACCAUCAAGCCCCGGGCUUGUGUUGGGGACCUGCGGCUGUCCGCAGGCCCUGAAAACCAGUGGCGGGCUCGCUGUCACCCCGAGCGUAGUAGUAUUAUCUCGCUAAGGGCGUGCUGCGGGUUCCGGCCGUUAAACAGCCUUCAUAACCCAAGGUUGACCUCGGAUCAGGUAGGAAGACCCGCUGAACUUAA
RNAcentral lists this unclassified non-coding RNA (301 nucleotides) under uncultured Sordariales. Its description in RNAcentral is "sequence contains ITS1". The stretch from base 1 to 105 matches the Rfam family "5.8S ribosomal RNA", at positions 50 to 154 of the family's 154-position model. RNAcentral also lists the same sequence under 1 other name. The record is from RNAcentral. Lineage: Eukaryota; Fungi; Ascomycota; Sordariomycetes; Sordariales.